Molecule: unclassified non-coding RNA, 200 nt
Filed under: Herpotrichiellaceae sp.
Lineage: Eukaryota; Fungi; Ascomycota; Eurotiomycetes; Chaetothyriales; Herpotrichiellaceae
Description: partial internal transcribed spacer 2
Source: RNAcentral
UUAAGUUCAGCGGGUAUCCCUACCUGAUCCGAGGUCAACCUGAGAAAAAUUUCCCUGCAAAAGGGAGAAGACCGUGACUCGCCAACCCUUAUUCCAGUACGUGCUCAGUUAAGAAGCUCAGUGUACCGGGGGUCAGACAAAGCCGCCGUCGUUGUCUUUAGGAGGGGUCGGGCGACGCCCGACCAACCAUCCAAGGCCAA